CCGAGGAAAAGAAAUCAACCGAGAUUCCCCCAGUAGCGGCGAGCGAACGGGGAGCAGCCCAGAGCCUGAAUCAGUGUGUGUGUUAGUGGAAGCGUCUGGAAAGGCGCGCGAUACAGGGUGACAGCCCCGUACACAAAAAUGCACAUGCUGUGAGCUCGAUGAGUAGGGCGGGACACGUGGUAUCCUGUCUGAAUAUGGGGGGACCAUCCUCCAAGGCUAAAUACUCCUGACUGACCGAUAGUGAACCAGUACCGUGAGGGAAAGGCGAAAAGAACCCCGGCGAGGGGAGUGAAAAAGAACCUGAAACCGUGUACGUACAAGCAGUGGGAGCACGCUUAGGCGUGUGACUGCGUACCUUUUGUAUAAUGGGUCAGCGACUUAUAUUCUGUAGCAAGGUUAACCGAAUAGGGGAGCCGAAGGGAAACCGAGUCUUAACUGGGCGUUAAGUUGCAGGGUAUAGACCCGAAACCCGGUGAUCUAGCCAUGGGCAGGUUGAAGGUUGGGUAACACUAACUGGAGGACCGAACCGACUAAUGUUGAAAAAUUAGCGGAUGACUUGUGGCUGGGGGUGAAAGGCCAAUCAAACCGGGAGAUAGCUGGUUCUCCCCGAAAGCUAUUUAGGUAGCGCCUCGUGAAUUCAUCUCCGGGGGUAGAGCACUGUUUCGGCAAGGGGGUCAUCCCGACUUACCAACCCGAUGCAAACUGCGAAUACCGGAGAAUGUUAUCACGGGAGACACACGGCGGGUGCUAACGUCCGUCGUGAAGAGGGAAACAACCCAGACCGCCAGCUAAGGUCCCAAAGUCAUGGUUAAGUGGGAAACGAUGUGGGAAGGCCCAGACAGCCAGGAUGUUGGCUUAGAAGCAGCCAUCAUUUAAAGAAAGCGUAAUAGCUCACUGGUCGAGUCGGCCUGCGCGGAAGAUGUAACGGGGCUAAACCAUGCACCGAAGCUGCGGCAGCGACGCUUAUGCGUUGUUGGGUA
Molecule: ribosomal RNA, 980 nt
Filed under: Escherichia coli
Lineage: Bacteria; Pseudomonadati; Pseudomonadota; Gammaproteobacteria; Enterobacterales; Enterobacteriaceae
Description: partial 23S ribosomal RNA
Rfam family: Bacterial large subunit ribosomal RNA
Source: RNAcentral